RNAcentral lists this unclassified non-coding RNA (758 nucleotides) under Hevea brasiliensis (rubber tree). Lineage: Eukaryota; Viridiplantae; Streptophyta; Magnoliopsida; Malpighiales; Euphorbiaceae. The record is from RNAcentral.
GAUUUGAAACAUGCUACCUGGAUCUAGAAACCUAAGGGAGUUAAAGAGAAUUUUGAAACUACGCUUUACCAUUGAUACAAACAUUUUAAGAGAAGUCCAAAGGUUAGCCCUUGAAAAAUUAGGUAUGAUAACUUCUGACCAUAUAAUAAAUAAUUGUCACCACACAUUUCUUUAAACUAGAAACAUAUUUAAAAUUCAUUUAAUGAAUAACGUAGAGGCCUAUAUUUUAAAUCCAAUGCAAGAAAUCUGAUCACCACCCCCUUUUCCAUUUUACAUCAGGCAAGUACCAGUAUAUACUCUUUGGUUUAACAAGAUAUUACCAUUUUCCAUGAACAUUUUAAAGUAAUGCAUUAAAACGACAAAAUUAAAGCUAUGAAGUAAGCAGGAUCAUUCAAAUUAAUACUAUAAGAUGGUUCAUCUUUCUUUUUUAAUUCAUUUUCCUCACUUUUUUUUCAAAACCAAAUCCCCAAUACCAUGAUACACCUAGUCCAGCACAGGUCACUAUAAUCUAUAAAAAUUCAGAAGUCCUUAGAUCCAUUUUCCUACAAUGUCCUAAGUUUAAUUGUACGCAGGUUCAGUUUUCUAUCUUGACUUCUAGACAUGUCAUAAACUGGAUUACAGUAACUUAAAUUCCAUGUAAUAAGCAAGGUCAAUGUUCCUUCAUCUUCUGCAAACUGAUGGGUAUGGAACAGCCUAUCUUAAAUAUGAUUUUGAAGAAUAAAUGUUUAUCUUAAAUAUGAUUUUGAAGAAUAAAUGUU